UGGGGAAUAUUGGACAAUGGGCGCAAGCCUGAUCCAGCAAUGCCGCGUGUGUGAAGAAGGCCUUCGGGUUGUAAAGCACUUUUAUCAGGAGCGAAACGCUGUCGGCUAAUACCCGGCGGAACUGACGGUACCUGAGGAAUAAGCACCGGCUAACUUCGUGCCAGCAGCCGCGGUAAUACGAAGGGUGCAAGCGUUAAUCGGAAUUACUGGGCGUAAAGCGUGCGUAGGCGGUUUCUUAAGUCUGCUGUGAAAUCCCCGGCUCAACCUGGGAAUGCAGUGGAUGACUGGGAGGCUAGAGUGUGUCAGAGGGUGGUGGAAGUUCCCGGUGAUCAGCGGUGAAAUGCGAUAGAGAUCGGGAGGAACAUCAGUGGCGAAGGCGGCCACCUGGGACAAGCACUGACGCUGAGGCACGAAAGCGUGGGGAGCAAACAGGAUUAGAUACCCUGGUAGUCCACGCCCUAAACGAUGCGAACUGGAUGUUGGUCUCAACUCGGAGAUCAGUGUCGAAGCUAACGCGUUAAGUUCGCCGCCUGGGGAGUACGGUCGCAAGACUGAAACUUAAAUGAAUUGACGGGGUCAUAGCUGUUUCCUG
This 592-nucleotide ribosomal RNA is filed under the name uncultured bacterium. Its description in RNAcentral is "partial 16S ribosomal RNA". It matches the Rfam family "Bacterial small subunit ribosomal RNA", at positions 355 to 1376 of the family's 1533-position model. The record is from RNAcentral.